RNAcentral lists this ribosomal RNA (2925 nucleotides) under Shigella sonnei. RNAcentral describes it as "bacterial LSU rRNA". It matches the Rfam family "Bacterial large subunit ribosomal RNA". Lineage: Bacteria; Pseudomonadati; Pseudomonadota; Gammaproteobacteria; Enterobacterales; Enterobacteriaceae. The record is from RNAcentral.
GGGUUGUGAGGUUAAGCGACUAAGCGUACACGGUGGAUGCCCUGGCAGUCAGAGGCGAUGAAGGACGUGCUAAUCUGCGAUAAGCGUCGGUAAGGUGAUAUGAACCGUUAUAACCGGCGAUUUCCGAAUGGGGAAACCCAGUGUGAUUCGUCACACUAUCAUUAACUGAAUCCAUAGGUUAAUGAGGCGAACCGGGGGAACUGAAACAUCUAAGUACCCCGAGGAAAAGAAAUCAACCGAGAUUCCCCCAGUAGCGGCGAGCGAACGGGGAGCAGCCCAGAGCCUGAAUCAGUGUGUGUGUUAGUGGAAGCGUCUGGAAAGGCGCGCGAUACAGGGUGACAGCCCCGUACACAAAAAUGCACAUAUUGUGAGCUCGAUGAGUAGGGCGGGACACGUGGUAUCCUGUCUGAAUAUGGGGGGACCAUCCUCCAAGGCUAAAUACUCCUGACUGACCGAUAGUGAACCAGUACCGUGAGGGAAAGGCGAAAAGAACCCCGGCGAGGGGAGUGAAAAAGAACCUGAAACCGUGUACGUACAAGCAGUGGGAGCACGCUUAGGCGUGUGACUGCGUACCUUUUGUAUAAUGGGUCAGCGACUUAUAUUCUGUAGCAAGGUUAACCGAAUAGGGGAGCCGAAGGGAAACCGAGUCUUAACUGGGCGUUAAGUUGCAGGGUAUAGACCCGAAACCCGGUGAUCUAGCCAUGGGCAGGUUGAAGGUUGGGUAACACUAACUGGAGGACCGAACCGACUAAUGUUGAAAAAUUAGCGGAUGACUUGUGGCUGGGGGUGAAAGGCCAAUCAAACCGGGAGAUAGCUGGUUCUCCCCGAAAGCUAUUUAGGUAGCGCCUCGUGAAUUCAUCUCCGGGGGUAGAGCACUGUUUCGGCAAGGGGGUCAUCCCGACUUACCAACCCGAUGCAAACUGCGAAUACCGGAGAAUGUUAUCACGGGAGACACACGGCGGGUGCUAACGUCCGUCGUGAAGAGGGAAACAACCCAGACCGCCAGCUAAGGUCCCAAAGUCAUGGUUAAGUGGGAAACGAUGUGGGAAGGCCCAGACAGCCAGGAUGUUGGCUUAGAAGCAGCCAUCAUUUAAAGAAAGCGUAAUAGCUCACUGGUCGAGUCGGCCUGCGCGGAAGAUGUAACGGGGCUAAACCAUGCACCGAAGCUGCGGCAGCGACGCUUAUGCGUUGUUGGGUAGGGGAGCGUUCUGUAAGCCUGCGAAGGUGUGCUGUGAGGCAUGCUGGAGGUAUCAGAAGUGCGAAUGCUGACAUAAGUAACGAUAAAGCGGGUGAAAAGCCCGCUCGCCGGAAGACCAAGGGUUCCUGUCCAACGUUAAUCGGGGCAGGGUGAGUCGACCCCUAAGGCGAGGCCGAAAGGCGUAGUCGAUGGGAAACAGGUUAAUAUUCCUGUACUUGGUGUUACUGCGAAGGGGGGACGGAGAAGGCUAUGUUGGCCGGGCGACGGUUGUCCCGGUUUAAGCGUGUAGGCUGGUUUUCCAGGCAAAUCCGGAAAAUCAAGGCUGAGGCGUGAUGACGAGGCACUACGGUGCUGAAGCAACAAAUGCCCUGCUUCCAGGAAAAGCCUCUAAGCAUCAGGUAACAUCAAAUCGUACCCCAAACCGACACAGGUGGUCAGGUAGAGAAUACCAAGGCGCUUGAGAGAACUCGGGUGAAGGAACUAGGCAAAAUGGUGCCGUAACUUCGGGAGAAGGCACGCUGAUAUGUAGGUGAAGUCCCUUGCGGAUGGAGCUGAAAUCAGUCGAAGAUACCAGCUGGCUGCAACUGUUUAUUAAAAACACAGCACUGUGCAAACACGAAAGUGGACGUAUACGGUGUGACGCCUGCCCGGUGCCGGAAGGUUAAUUGAUGGGGUCAGCGCAAGCGAAGCUCUUGAUCGAAGCCCCGGUAAACGGCGGCCGUAACUAUAACGGUCCUAAGGUAGCGAAAUUCCUUGUCGGGUAAGUUCCGACCUGCACGAAUGGCGUAAUGAUGGCCAGGCUGUCUCCACCCGAGACUCAGUGAAAUUGAACUCGCUGUGAAGAUGCAGUGUACCCGCGGCAAGACGGAAAGACCCCGUGAACCUUUACUAUAGCUUGACACUGAACAUUGAGCCUUGAUGUGUAGGAUAGGUGGGAGGCUUUGAAGUGUGGACGCCAGUCUGCAUGGAGCCGGCCUUGAAAUACCACCCUUUAAUGUUUGAUGUUCUAACGUGGACCCGUGAUCCGGGUUGCGGACAGUGUCUGGUGGGUAGUUUGACUGGGGCGGUCUCCUCCUAAAGAGUAACGGAGGAGCACGAAGGUUGGCUAAUCCUGGUCGGACAUCAGGAGGUUAGUGCAAUGGCAUAAGCCAGCUUGACUGCGAGCGUGACGGCGCGAGCAGGUGCGAAAGCAGGUCAUAGUGAUCCGGUGGUUCUGAAUGGAAGGGCCAUCGCUCAACGGAUAAAAGGUACUCCGGGGAUAACAGGCUGAUACCGCCCAAGAGUUCAUAUCGACGGCGGUGUUUGGCACCUCGAUGUCGGCUCAUCACAUCCUGGGGCUGAAGUAGGUCCCAAGGGUAUGGCUGUUCGCCAUUUAAAGUGGUACGCGAGCUGGGUUUAGAACGUCGUGAGACAGUUCGGUCCCUAUCUGCCGUGGGCGCUGGAGAACUGAGGGGGGCUGCUCCUAGUACGAGAGGACCGGAGUGGACGCAUCACUGGUGUUCGGGUUGUCAUGCCAAUGGCACUGCCCGGUAGCUAAAUGCGGAAGAGAUAAGUGCUGAAAGCAUCUAAGCACGAAACUUGCCCCGAGAUGAGUUCUCCCUGACCCUUUAAGGGUCCUGAAGGAACGUUGAAGACGACGACGUUGAUAGGCCGGGUGUGUAAGCGCAGCGAUGCGUUGAGCUAACCGGUACUAAUGAACCGUGAGGCUUAACCUUACAACGCCGAAG